AUGCAUACUGACACUACCACCACCACCAUCCCCAAGGCCACGGCGGAUGACACCAAACUUUGGACUACCAGGAACUACAUCCUGGCGGCGCUCGGCGGGACCCUAGUCGUCACCGCCAUCAUCAUCAUCGUCUCUGUCGUCCUCGGCCCCGCGCACAUCAGCUUCUACAUCGUCCACGCCUCGAGCACCGAUCCCAGAGCCAGCAACGACGGCACCCAGUACCUGAACCUCACCAUUGCCGCCGCAAACGGCAGCCGGAAGCGUGCGGCGGUGCGGUACCAGAGCGUCUUCGUCGACCUCAAGAACAGCACGAGCGUGACCAGGCGGAACACGAUCCACGCCCCAGUCUACGCGACCACGCCACCGAUGAACCAUUACCUGCCGCCGGGAGCGGAGCCGGCGAGCAUCAAAGCGUCGGCGCUCCUGCUGACGAGGGGCGAGAACCAGGACUUCAUCGGCCGCCGGGUGAACGUCAGCGGGUUCAAUGUGGUGGUGACGGCGCUGGUCCGGUUCCGGAUCCACGGAGUCCCCACGAGGGCGUACGACAUCAAGGUCUCGUGCAAUCACGUCUUUUUCCCGGUAGAAGGGCCAUCCAGCCUCCGCGCGCCGCCAAUCAAUUGCACUGCUUAUUAA
RNAcentral lists this ribosomal RNA (633 nucleotides) under Triticum aestivum (bread wheat). RNAcentral's name for it is "partial small subunit ribosomal RNA". The record is from RNAcentral. Lineage: Eukaryota; Viridiplantae; Streptophyta; Magnoliopsida; Poales; Poaceae.